ACAGUCCUUUUCUGGGAAGUCAGCCACACAGGCAUCAAAGCGCAAGUAGCCAUAGUGCCGCAGCGUCUGGGCCAGUCUCAGGAACUCCUUCUUGGAGACUUUCUCUUGCAGAGAUUUGAGUUGCCGGUGCUGUUCCUUGGUGACCAAGAUCCACCCACGCUCAAUAUCUGAUACCGUCUGAGCAUAAAGCAGGUUCAGGCCAACCCGGU
This 209-nucleotide unclassified non-coding RNA is filed under the name Hevea brasiliensis (rubber tree). Lineage: Eukaryota; Viridiplantae; Streptophyta; Magnoliopsida; Malpighiales; Euphorbiaceae. The record is from RNAcentral.